RNAcentral lists this ribosomal RNA (469 nucleotides) under uncultured bacterium. RNAcentral describes it as "partial 16S ribosomal RNA". It matches the Rfam family "Bacterial small subunit ribosomal RNA", at positions 28 to 507 of the family's 1533-position model. The record is from RNAcentral.
AACGAACGUUGGCGGCGUGGAUUAGGCAUGCAAGUCGAACGCGAAUCCCUGGGCAACUGGGGAGGAGAGUGGCGAAAGGGGCAGUAAGGCGUGGGUAACCUACCCUCCGGGCCGGGAUAGCUUCGGGAAACUGAAGGUAAUACCGGGCGACGCAGCGAGAUCGCAUGGUCUUGCUGCCAAAGGUCCGCCGCCGGGGGAGGGGCCCACGUGGUAUUAGCUAGACGGCGGGGUAACGGCCCACCGUGGCAAAGAUGCCUAGCAGGUGUGAGAGCACGACCUGCGCCACUGGCACUGAGACACUGGCCAGACACCUACGGGUGGCUGCAGUGGAGGAUCUUCGGCAAUGGGCGCAAGCCUGACCGAGCGACGCCGCGUGUGCGAUGAAGGCCUUCGGGUUGUAAAGCACUGUCGAGGGGGAGGAAGCCGCAAGGUUGACCUAUCCCUGGAGGAAGCACGGGCUAAGUUCGUG